Molecule: long non-coding RNA, 1173 nt
Organism: Alexandromys fortis (reed vole)
Lineage: Eukaryota; Metazoa; Chordata; Mammalia; Rodentia; Cricetidae
Exons: 4
Source: RefSeq, a predicted model, not a curated record
GGAAGUCUCUUCUGUACUGACUGCAAUCAUCGUCAUCCCGUGUCGCUUGAGUUUUCGCAUGUGUCUGAAGGGGUGAGAGAUCACUGCAGAAAGCUCCAGACUCUGUCCAGUUAUGGAGCUCCCCUCUACUCUGGCUUCCUGUUUGCUGAACUUCCAAGCCCAGUGAUGGUGGUGCACGCCUUUAAUCCCAGCACUUGAAGCAGAGGCAAGUGGAUCUCUGUGAGUUCGAGGCCAGUCUGAUCUACAGAGAGACCAGACUGGGUUUGAUGAGCUGACACCCUGUGUACAAGGCCUUUUAAUUAAACCUGGAAACUGCUGUUUCGGCUAGACUGGCUGAUCAGUGAGUCCUGGAAUCUACUCGUUCCCACCCCAACCCUGAAAUUACAGACAUAAGCAGCCACGCCAAGUUUUACAUGGGUACUGGGUCUCAAAACUCAGGUCCCUCUAUUUGUACGAAGCCCUUUACCCACUGAGGCAUCAAGGACCCCAGCCACCUUUUUACCUUGCUGGAGACAGAACCCAGAACCCUGACUGAGCAUGCUAAGCAAGAACUCUACCGCUGAGCUCCGUCUUCUGCCUUAUUCUUGCUCUCUUAUUUCCUCAAGUUAAAUGUCACUGCUGACGAGGAACUGGUACCAAGAGUACAGAAGAACAUCAUGGUAUUUCUCGGUAUUAGACACAGUAGCCAGCACCUCCUAAAGAUGUGAUGAGUGUGUAUACGUGAAUAAAUAUCUUAGAAAAGGAGGCUAUCUCAUCUACCUUAUCAUCUGCCAGGGAACUCAAAAAAGGAAGAAACAUCCAGUUGGUCAGGGGCCAGCAAGACGGCUCAGUGGGUAACGUUACUUGCUGCCAAGACUGAUGACCAAGUGUGGACCUCAGACACACAUGAUGCAAGUAGAGCACUGACUUUUGCAGUUGUCCUCUGAAUCCACACACUGUGGCAUGUGCUCUACACACACACACACACACACACACACACACACACACACACACACAAACAUAAUAAUAAAAGAAAAAUGAUCUGACACCAUGGACGUAAAGCUAAGAUCAAGAUUAACUGUAAAUUUCCAACUCACUUAAUAGGAAAGGUUUUGUCAUAAUCACUGGCAACUUGACACAAACUAUUCCCUGAGAAUAGGGAGUGUUAAUUGAGGAACUGCCUUCAUCAGAUUG